UUGGUCUGCAUGAUCCACCAGGUGUCCAGAGAACAUGGUACUGGUCUCUGCCUGGAGAGGAGUUCAAUGAGAGUUACCAACCGUGGAGCACAAAUGAGCCAAAUGAUGCAGACGGGUUGCAGAACUGUGGAAUCAUAUGGAAGACCCUGAAGUGGGGGAGCUUAGACUGUCCCCGACCUGAAUUCUUUCUCUGCUAUAAUGACAGGAAUUCAUCAAAGAAAUUCCACUUGAUUCAAGAAAAGAAAAACUGGACAGAAGCUCAGAGUUACUGCAGGAAAGAACACACAGACCUAAUCAGUGGACUGACACAGCUCCAGGAUGAGGAGGUAAAGACAGAAUGCAGUUCUGUUGCAGAUGGUACAUACAUUUACACCGGUCUGUUCAGAGACACCUGGAGGUGGUCAGAUGGAAGCAGUUUCUCCUUUAGACACUGGAAUCUACAGUUUGACAAUCAGAUAAUCAACAGUGGUCAAUGUGCCAUGACUGUGUUUGAUGAUGAAGGCAGAUGGAGGAAUGAGAACUGUACUGACAGAAAACCCUUCAUCUGUUAUGAUGAAAAACUGAUCCUGAUCAAAGAAAGUAAAACCUGGGAGGAAGCCUUGUACUACUGCAGAGAUCACCACCAUGACCUGGUCACCAUCACCAACCUGGAUGAGCAGAGAUUGGUCCAGGAGAAAGCCAAGAACGCCUCCACUGAUUACGUCUGGAUGGGACUGCACUACACCUGUACUCUGGAUUUCUGGUUCUGGGUCAGUGAUGAAGUGGUCAGCUAUCAGAACUGGGCUGCAGAUGGACUGAUGGAUGACUGUGACAUCUCUGGAGCCAUGAAGACAGGAGGACAACAUAAGUGGUUUAAAAAAAAUGACAGAGAGGAGUUCAAUUUCAUCUGUUCUAAACAUUAAAUUCUAUUCUUUUCUGCUUUUUCGUUAUUAGGUGUGUCGUUCUUAUUACAUGAUGAUUUGAAUAGCUUAUUUUACUAAGUUUUCUGAGCUACAGGGAGAAUAAGAGGAUUCUUUAUUUCCAGCUUACUUAAAC
This is a long non-coding RNA of Fundulus heteroclitus (mummichog), 1035 nucleotides long. RefSeq lists it as uncharacterized. The transcript is spliced from 3 exons. NCBI's taxonomy places the organism in Eukaryota, Metazoa, Chordata, Actinopteri, Cyprinodontiformes, Fundulidae. The record is from RefSeq and is a predicted model, not a curated record.